GGAUGAGUCUACUACCAAGCAUACUGGGGAUUCAAUUUCUUUUGGAUCACACCGUGAGAGAAUGAAAAAAGAUUUGGGACGAAAUGUGGAUGAAUUUGAGGUUUUUGAACGAAUGCAUAAAAUAAAGCAAGGUAUUGGAGAGUUUGUGGAUAACAAAUCAGCUCGAGUUAGUGAACAAUAUAAAGAGAGACAAAAUGUUGAUGAUCAGUCUACUCGACCUUCAUUCAAUCUCAAAUCAUGGUGUGAUGUGGUGGGCGACCCAUGUAAGGGGAGGGUGUACGGAUUUGGACGCAAUCAACAUUUUAGAAGAUCAU
This is a long non-coding RNA of Zingiber officinale, 314 nucleotides long. RefSeq lists it as uncharacterized. Lineage: Eukaryota; Viridiplantae; Streptophyta; Magnoliopsida; Zingiberales; Zingiberaceae. The record is from RefSeq and is a predicted model, not a curated record. The transcript has 3 exons.